Molecule: long non-coding RNA, 2729 nt
Filed under: Sus scrofa (pig)
Lineage: Eukaryota; Metazoa; Chordata; Mammalia; Artiodactyla; Suidae
Description: lncRNA (ENSSSCG00000047227.2)
Source: RNAcentral
CCCUUUCCUUCCUUUCUUUUGGUUUAGAGAAGCCCUUUCAAUAUUUCCUUUAACCUGGGUUUUGUGUUGCUGUAUUCUUUAAGUUUUUGUUUGUUGGGAAAAAUUUUUAUUUCCCCUUCUAUUUUAAAUGAUAUUCUUGCUGGAUAAAGUAUUCUAGGUUGCAUAUUUUUUCCUUUGAGCACUUUAAAUAUCUCUUGCCAUUCCCUCCUGGCCUGUAGUGUUUCUGUAGAGAAAUCAGCUGAUAUUCUUAUGGGGGUUCCCUUGUAGGUAACAUUCUGUUUUUCUCUUGCUGCCUUUAGGAUCCUCUCUUUAUCACUAACUUUUGCCAUUUUUAUUAUGAUGUGUCUUGGUGUGGGUCUGUUUGGGUUCAGUUUGUUUGGGGCCCUCUGUGCUUCUUGUAUCUUGAAUCCAGUAUCCUUUAGAUUUGGGAAGUUUCCAGCGAUAAUUUCUUCAAAUAUAUUUUCCAUUCCCUUAUCUUUUUCUACUCCUUCUGGAAUUCCUAUUAUGCGUAGAUUGGCUCGUUUUAUAUUAUCCCAUAGGUCUCUUAUAUUGCUUUCCAGUUUUUUGAUUCGGUUUUCUGUCUGUUGACCAGAUUGAGUGAUUUCCAUUAUUCUAUCUUCCAUAUCACUGAUUCGUUCUUCUGCAUUAUUCAUUCUGGUUUUUACUGCCCCUAGUUCAGUUUGCAUCUCUGCAAAUGAAUGUUCUAGUUUUUCUUGGCUCCUCCUUAUAUUUUCUAGCUCCUUUCUGAGGGUAUCUGCAUUGCUGUUCAUAUCUUCUCUUAAUUCCUUCAGUAUUUUCACUAUUUCUCUUUUGAACUCCAGGUCUGUCAGACUGCAGAGAUCAGUUUCAUUGUUGACUGUUUUAGGUGAGUUCUCCUGUUGGUUUGACUGGGGGUGGUUUCUCAGCUUCUUCAUCUUGCUUGUUGUCUUCUUUCUCCUGAGGGAGUUGUACUCUCCGUUAUCGGGUAGUGUUUGCCUUGUCACUGCCGUGGAAUAUUUCCUGAGGGCUGUCGUUGUUGGUCAAUCUUUUUUUGAGGCAGUGUGGCUUUUCUGGAGUGUUGAUGGGACUAACAGUGUUUCUUUGAAGCAAAGGAGGACUUCCUGAGGGCAGACAGGACUGGGAGGUCCACCCCACGAUGGUAGCAGAUUUCACUUGGUUCUCAGCACCCCCUGGGGUCUUGGGCGGGUAGCAGGGCCCUUGGAGACUCAAGAGGUUCCUCCCCAGGGCAGCCCGAUUCAGAAAGACCGUCUGAGAUCUUUUCCCGAUUCCGCCAGGCUUGUUGCAGCUUUUCUGGGCUGCAGGGGGUCCUGCCUGGAGCUGGCAGUCCUAUGCAGCUGGUCCACUAGGUCUCAGCACCCCUUGGGGUCUUGGGCGAGUAGCAGGGCCUUUGGAGACUCAAGAGGCUCCUCCCCAGAACAGCCCGACUCAGAAAGACCGUCUGAGAUCUUUUCCCAAUUCGGCCAGGCUUGUUGCAGCUUUUCUGGGCUGCAGGGGGUCCUGCCUGGAGCUGGCAGUCCUAUGCAGCUGGUCCACUAGGUCUCAGCACCCCUUGGGGUCUUGGGUGGGUAGCAGGGCCCUUGGAGACUCAAGAGGCUCCUCCCCAGGGCAGCCCGAUUCAGAAAGACCGUUUGAGAUCUUUUCCCGAUUCGGCCAGGCUUGUUGCAGCUUUUCUGGGCUGCAGGGGGUCCUGCCUGGAGCUGGCAGUCCUAUGCAGCUGGUCCACUAGGUCUCAGCACCCCCUGGGGUCUUGGGCGGGUAGCAGGGCCUUUGGAGGCUCAAGAGGCUCCUCCCCAGGACAGCCCGACUCAGAAAGACCGUCUGAGAUCUUUUCCCGAUUCCGCCAGGCUUGUUGCAGCUUUUCUGGGCUGCAGGGGGUCCUGCCUGGAGCUGGCAGUCCUAUGCAGCUGGUCCACUAGGUCUCAGCACCCCUUGGGGUCUUGGGCGGGUAGCAGGGCCCUUGGAGACUCAAGAGGCUCCUCCCCAGGACAGCCCGACUCAGAAAGACCGUUUGAGAUCUUUUCCCAAUUCGGCCAGGCUUGUUGCAGCUUUUCUGGGCUGCAGGGGGUCCUGCCUGGAGCUGGCAGUCCUAUGCAGCUGGUCCCCUAGGUCUUAGCACCCCCUGGGGUCUUGGGCGUGUAGCAAGGCCCUUGGAGACUCAAGAGGCUCCUCCCCGGGGGAGCCCGUCUCAGAAAAACCGUCGGAGAAUUAGGUCGAUCUAUUCACGGCCUGGCUAGGCUUGUUCUAGCUUUUCUGGGCUGCAGGCCUUUUCUAGGGGGCUGGUGGUGUUUGGUGCUGCUCUGUGGAAGUGUAGCCCCUCCAAAGGGCAAGCAGGCCUGUGCAGGGAGAGCCCCUGCGGUGGUAGGCUUCAGGCAAUUGUUGAGGCCAGCCCUCCUGGAUGGCAGGCAGCCCCAGGUUCGGCGAGAGCGUAGGGGGUGGCGGGGGUGGGGGGAGGGAAUGCACUGGGAAGCACAGCUUUCUGCUAGCUAGCGGGCCUGUAAGCUUGCUGUGGCGUGGGGGGUAUUCUAUGGGGACCCACCCCUUCUUCUCUCCCCUCCCCAGCACGGGCGCAGACCAGGCUCUUCUCCCAGGUUCCCUCUGAGGCGGCUUUCCACUUCCCCGCCCCUAGAGUAUUGCUCCCUUCCUCUGCGACAGCUUUGUUUUCUAGUCUCCCAGGCAGUCUCUGCCCCGUCAAAUGGUUUAGAGACCUCCCAAGCAGUUUCCGCUCUUCC